AACGAACGCUGGCGGCAGGCUUAACACAUGCAAGUCGAGCGCCCCGCAAGGGGAGCGGCAGACGGGUGAGUAACGCGUGGGAAUCUACCUUUUGCUACGGAAUAACGCAGGGAAACUUGUGCUAAUACCGUAUGUGUCCUUCGGGAGAAAGGUUUAUCGGCAAGAGAUGAGCCCGCGUUGGAUUAGCUAGUUGGUGGGGUAAAGGCCUACCAAGGCGACGAUCCAUAGCUGGUCUGAGAGGAUGAUCAGCCACAUUGGGACUGAGACACGGCCCAAACUCCUACGGGAGGCAGCAGUGGGGAAUAUUGGACAAUGGGCGCAAGCCUGAUCCAGCCAUGCCGCGUGAGUGGUGAAGGCCCUAGGGUUGUAAAGCUCUUUCACCGGAGAAGAUAAUGACGGUAUCCGGAGAAGAAGCCCCGGCUAACUUCGUGCCAGCCGCCGCGGUAA
Molecule: ribosomal RNA, 447 nt
Filed under: uncultured Hyphomicrobiales bacterium
Lineage: Bacteria; Pseudomonadati; Pseudomonadota; Alphaproteobacteria; Hyphomicrobiales
Description: bacterial SSU rRNA
Rfam family: Bacterial small subunit ribosomal RNA
Source: RNAcentral